GUCCUUGUGUGUGUGCUGCUUUGGAGAAUAUCCUGAGGUGUUCAAAGGAUGGCCAGCACUCUGUGCCUGGGUGGCUGGAGAGCUGUGAUUUAUGGUUGCUGACAGUGAAUGCUUUUCCCCACCAUGGAGCUGUGUCAGGAAGCUCCUGUUUUCUGUGGCUCUCAAUCUCAGAGGAGCCAGAUGCUGAGAGAAACAGCUCUGUGCUGGCUGGGCUGCACUGGGUGAUCCUCCCAGCUGGACUCUGCUCCAGGAGCUGCUGCUGACCAAACAUUCUGUGUGGUCACUACCCUGGCCUCAGAUUGGCUUUGUGAGCUGUUUUUCCUUUGUGUUCUUCUUCUUCUUGGCAUCCUUGGAUGGUGGUUUUUUCCAUGAGGUGGAUGGAUCAGGAAUCUGCUGUCUGCGAUGGCUGAAAGUCCAGUUUAACUCCUACUCCCUCAAGGUACAGAACAGAACUAUUUAAAUCAAGAAAUAUCUCUCCUUUCUUGUCUUGGAGCUGGCUGUGUCAGUCUUCAGUUUUCAGUGGGGAAAAAUCCCAGCCCAUGGAAUUUGUGGCUUUCUAAACCAUUCCUUUGUGUGGUGACUUCACAUCAGAGCAGAUCCUGCUUCUCCAGAGGGGUGGGAGCAGGGAUUGCUGGUCCACAGGAAAUUUUGGGUUGUUGUGGCCUUGGCUGUCAGAGUGUGGGGGUUUGUUGGCCAUAAUUCCUGUUCCAAGCCAAAAAAAGCACUCACGUGAGGUUUGUUGUGACUGCCUUUGGCUCUGGGAUGGGUUUCCACCUUCCAAGCAAACAUCCAACCAUUCUGCUGCCUCAUUCUUGUGGAUGCUCAUUGUAAAGCAAAGUCCCAGCUUUAACACCCCAAAGCUCUUUGCUAAGUGGAGAAUUGUUCUCAGGCUGAGGAAUUAAUAGCAAAGUUUCCCUGACAGAAAGAGCCAGGCAUUCAUCCCACAGCAAUUGUUCCCAGAACUGGCAAACACAAAUUAAAGCACUUUGCUGCUGCAUUUCUUUUUUUCUGUGAAGGUCUUUAUUUAUAACAUUUGCUGUUUAGGUUUGAAAUCUCAGCCCUGUAUAUGGUUACACACAAAUUACACAUGAAAACAAAAUGUGGCUGGAGACAAGAAUGAACAUUAUCACCAAGAGAAAUGAUUGUUUUCAGAAAUACAUCCAAA
Molecule: long non-coding RNA, 1165 nt
Filed under: Parus major (Great Tit)
Lineage: Eukaryota; Metazoa; Chordata; Aves; Passeriformes; Paridae
Description: lncRNA (ENSPMJG00000005870.1)
Source: RNAcentral